Molecule: transfer RNA, 60 nt
Filed under: Gmelinoides fasciatus
Lineage: Eukaryota; Metazoa; Arthropoda; Malacostraca; Amphipoda; Micruropodidae
Description: tRNA-Asp
Source: RNAcentral
AAAGUAUUAGUUAAACUAUAACGCUAAUUUGUCAAAUUAAAGUUACCUUUGUAUACUUUA